GUCGUCAGCUCGUGUCGUGAGAUGUUGGGUUAAGUCCCGCAACGAGCGCAACCCUCGACCUUAGUUGCCAGCAUUCAGUUGGGCACUCUAAGGUGACUGCCGGACUAAAAGUCGGAGGAAGUGGGGAUGACGUCAAAUCAUCAUGCCCCUUAUGACCUGGGCUACACACGUGCUACAAUGGGCGGUACAAAGGGUCGACGAACCCGCGAGGGGGAGCCAAUCCCAAAAAGACCGCUCUCAGUUCGGAUUGCAGGCUGCAACUCGCCUGCAUGAAGCCGGAAUCGCUAGUAAUCGCGGAUCAGCAUGCCGCGGUGAAUACGUUCCCGGGCCUU
RNAcentral lists this ribosomal RNA (332 nucleotides) under uncultured Anoxybacillus sp. RNAcentral describes it as "bacterial SSU rRNA". It matches the Rfam family "Bacterial small subunit ribosomal RNA", at positions 1051 to 1382 of the family's 1533-position model. The record is from RNAcentral. Lineage: Bacteria; Bacillati; Bacillota; Bacilli; Caryophanales; Anoxybacillaceae.